CAGUCUGGCAAGAUUUAAAACUUUGUUGACACCUUCUUGGCAAGGUUAUGAAGAAACAGUCACUCACAACAUUUCUACUAGAACGCAUCAAUUAUAUCCACAAGAAGGAUCUACAAGAGUCUUUCUUACUUUAAAACCAGGAGGAUGGUGCAGUGUUGUGAAGAAUAAGAGCAUGUACUUAGGUAUUUGGUUACAAUUAACAGAGAUCCCCAACUCAAAUUUACUUCAACAAUGGGAAAAUUGAUUAUCCUACAUAAGAUGUCUGGAGCUUGGGUGAGCUCCAAGAGGUAUAAUCAACGGUUAUGCCAAAAUGGGCCCAAGUCCUUUCCACCUCUCCAUUCAGCCAUCGUUCAUGUGUUGGCUUUAUUCCCAGGCUGAUUCCCUUCAUGGGAACAAAAAUGCUACAGUGGUUUUUGUCAUAAA
Non-coding RNA from Macaca mulatta (Rhesus monkey), 423 nucleotides. Lineage: Eukaryota; Metazoa; Chordata; Mammalia; Primates; Cercopithecidae. The record is from RefSeq and is a predicted model, not a curated record.